This 342-nucleotide long non-coding RNA is filed under the name Bos taurus (domestic cattle). RNAcentral's name for it is "long non-coding RNA NONBTAT025222". Lineage: Eukaryota; Metazoa; Chordata; Mammalia; Artiodactyla; Bovidae. The record is from RNAcentral.
UUUACUACAAAAUGAAAUGAACCCUAAAAUACUUGUGGAUGGAGACAAUCAGACAGUCAAAACCCUGCAGGGAUCAGUGUUUCCAGAAGAGAAAGCAUAAGGAAAUAAUGGGGAUUCUGAGAAACCUGAAAAUAAGGAACCCUCCUACAGCCAGCAGGUAUUUUCUGAAAAGUGAGAGAGAAUAAUUUUUGAUCAUCAGCUGAAACUAAGAGGGACUCUGCCCAGUGUUCAGCAGGUGAGCACACAGGGUUCACCAUGAGUCUGGGUGCUCAUGCCAUCAGGUACUCUUUGACCUUGAGAAACUGGUAAGCUUGUGCUGACUCCCAAGUUGGGGCACCUCAG